Molecule: ribosomal RNA, 443 nt
Filed under: uncultured Actinomycetes bacterium
Lineage: Bacteria; Bacillati; Actinomycetota; Actinomycetes
Description: bacterial SSU rRNA
Rfam family: Bacterial small subunit ribosomal RNA
Source: RNAcentral
GAGUUUGAUCUUGGCUCAGGACGAACGCUGGCGGCGUGCCUAACACAUGCAAGUCGAGCGAGAUCCAUCCAGUGGCAACACUGGUGAAGAUCUAGCGGCGAACGGGUGAGUAACACGUGAGAAACCUGCCCCGGAGACCGGGAUAACCCGAGGAAACUCGAGCUAAUACCGGAUACCCCCAUCUCAUGGCAUGUUGAGAUGAGGAAAUGCUCCGACGCUCCGGGAGGGUCUCGCGGCCUAUCAGGUAGUUGGUGAGGUAACGGCUCACCAAGCCGAAGACGGGUAGCUGGUCUGAGAGGACGAUCAGCCACACUGGGACUGAGACACGGCCCAGACUCCUACGGGAGGCAGCAGUGGGGAAUCUUGCGCAAUGGGCGAAAAGCCUGACGCAGCAACGCCGCGUGCGGGAUGAAGGCUCUCGGGUUGUAAACCGGCUUUCAGGA